Molecule: non-coding RNA, 23 nt
Filed under: Rattus norvegicus (Norway rat)
Lineage: Eukaryota; Metazoa; Chordata; Mammalia; Rodentia; Muridae
Source: RNAcentral
GAACAAAUGGAAGCCUCUCGUGU